GACGAACGCUGGCGGCGUGCUUAACACAUGCAAGUCGAACGGAAAGGCCCUGCUUUUGUGGGGUGCUCGAGUGGCGAACGGGUGAGUAACACGUGAGUAACCUGCCCUUGACUUUGGGAUAACUUCAGGAAACUGGGGCUAAUACCGGAUAGGAGCUCCUGCUGCAUGGUGGGGGUUGGAAAGUUUCGGCGGUUGGGGAUGGACUCGCGGCUUAUCAGCUUGUUGGUGGGGUAGUGGCUUACCAAGGCUUUGACGGGUAGCCGGCCUGGGAGGGUGACCGGCCACAUUGGGACUGAGAUACGGCGCAGACUCCUACGGGAGGCAGCAGUGGGGAAUAUUGCACAAUGGGCGGAAGCCUGAUGCAGCGACGCCGCGUGCGGGAUGACGGCCUUCGGGUUGUGAACCGCUUUCGCCUGUGACGAAGCGUUAGUGACGGUAAUUGGUAAAGAAGCACCGGCUAACUACGUG
RNAcentral lists this ribosomal RNA (468 nucleotides) under uncultured bacterium. RNAcentral describes it as "partial 16S ribosomal RNA". It matches the Rfam family "Bacterial small subunit ribosomal RNA", at positions 28 to 507 of the family's 1533-position model. The record is from RNAcentral.